RNAcentral lists this ribosomal RNA (405 nucleotides) under uncultured bacterium. RNAcentral's name for it is "partial 16S ribosomal RNA". It matches the Rfam family "Bacterial small subunit ribosomal RNA", at positions 28 to 526 of the family's 1533-position model. The record is from RNAcentral.
GACGAACGCUGGCGGCGUGCUUAACACAUGCAAGUCGAGCGGAGCGGCGAACGGGUGAGUAACGCGUGAGUAACUGCCCCCCUCUCUGGGAUAACAGUUGGAAACGGCUGCUAAUACCUGAUAGUGGGGGAUGACUCGGGUCCUAUCAGCUUGUUGGUGGGGUAGUGGCCUACCAAGGCGACGACGGGUAGCCGGCCUGCGGGGGCGACCGGCCACAUGGGGCUGAGGUACGGCCCAAACUGCGACGGGAGGCAGUAGUGGGGAAUAUGGCACAAUGGGGGAAACCCUGAUGCAGAAACGCCGCGGGCGGGAUGACGGCCUUCGGGGUGUAAACCGCGUUCAGCCAUGACGCGGUAGUGGCAGAAGAAGCACCGGCUAACUACGUGCCAGCAGCCGCGGUAAUUC